CAAGUACUGGUCUCAGCAGACUGAAGAGAGCACCACAGUGGUCACCACACAGUCUGCUGAGGAUGGAGCUGU
RNAcentral lists this microRNA precursor (72 nucleotides) under Chlorocebus sabaeus (green monkey). RNAcentral's name for it is "mir-622 microRNA precursor family". It matches the Rfam family "mir-622 microRNA precursor family". The record is from Rfam by way of RNAcentral. Lineage: Eukaryota; Metazoa; Chordata; Mammalia; Primates; Cercopithecidae.